AACGAACGCUGGCGGCAUGCCUAACACAUGCAAGUCGAACGAAGGCUUCGGCCUUAGUGGCGCACGGGUGCGUAACGCGUGGGAAUCUGCCCUUUGGUUCGGAAUAACAGCUGGAAACGGCUGCUAAUACCGGAUGAUGACGAAAGUCCAAAGAUUUAUCGCCAGAGGAUGAGCCCGCGUUGGAUUAGGUAGUUGGUGGGGUAAAGGCCUACCAAGCCGACGAUCCAUAGCUGGUCUGAGAGGAUGAUCAGCCACACUGGGACUGAGACACGGCCCAGACGGGUACGGGAGGAAGCAGUAGGGAAUCUUCCGCAAGCGGCGAAUGCGGGAUGGAGCAACGCCGCGUGAGGGAUGAAGGUCUUCGUAACGUAAAACGCUAAUAGUAGGGAAGAAAAAAUGCGUAAGUAACUACGCACGUCUUGACGGUACCUAAUCAGACAGACACGGCUAACUACGUC
Molecule: ribosomal RNA, 458 nt
Filed under: uncultured bacterium
Lineage: Bacteria
Description: partial 16S ribosomal RNA
Rfam family: Bacterial small subunit ribosomal RNA
Source: RNAcentral